Molecule: transfer RNA, 75 nt
Filed under: Christensenellaceae bacterium
Lineage: Bacteria; Bacillati; Bacillota; Clostridia; Christensenellales; Christensenellaceae
Description: tRNA-Gly
Rfam family: tRNA
About the family: Transfer RNA (tRNA) molecules are approximately 80 nucleotides in length.
Source: RNAcentral
GCGGAAGUAGCGCAACGGUAGCGUCCUGCUUUCCCAAGGCAGUCGUUGCGGGUUCGAGUCCCGUCUUCCGCUCCA